CAGGACUUGUCCAUCAGUGUUCCUCAGCAAGCUUUGAGACAAUGGUGCAAAAGAAUAACCUGUUACAAGUGCUGAAUACUGUAAAAGUACACAUGACCAAGGGAUUGCUACAGGGUUAUAAAAGGUUGUGAGCAUCUACAAUAAAUGUCUUCAUUCUGCACCAGCAAGAGUCUGUGCCUUGCUUGCCACAAAUGGUGCCCAAACAGGAACCCUGUAUUCGGGGUCAGCCUCAGGAGAUAAUUAAGGGAAGCUGAACCCAUGAACUUCUUAAAGGAAGCAGGAAUCAGGUCUGCUGAAAGGAAGCAGAAUCCGGGGUCACUAAAAAGAAGCUGAACCCUAAAAAGCUGCUGCAAGGAAGGAGCAGGCUGCACAGCCACAGUCACUUCUGCAGGAUGGAGGCACACUAAGAGAAGCUGAAAAAGAUGCAGAUGGAAGUGCAUUCAGACCUGCGAAUUUAUAUCCGUUUUGUACAAUUGGAAACACAUUCAGCAACAUCGACAGCGCUCAAAAUUGCUACACAACUACAUCAAAACAUCCAGCUUAUCCUGCAGCCGCUUGAUUAACAGAACAGCUGAAGUCAGCAAGUCCCUCAAGACGAUGCUGUUCUACAAACAGAACACUGCAGUGCUCUGCAUAAGACAGUUCUGUGGUGGUUUUUAAUAAGGAAGGCAUAUUUUUUGGAAUAAUAAGAUUAAAUAAAAUGUUGGAUUCAGUGGAUUCUUUUGCAUCAGUUGCAUACAGCCAUGCAACUGAAGAAUGAGGGAAAAGCACAUUGGUUUACCUUUCUUCAGCAGUUGCACUAACACCACAAGCAGUUACUGUAUGAGCUGGACAAUAACGUAGUAUUUACAGAUGCUGAAUAUCACCAAAGAUUAAUUAUAAUGUAUUUUCUAAUAUUAGAAUACAAAGUGUUAUUUUCUCUUGUAUCCAAUGAAUUAUUUUUCUUGAUUGAUUUGACACAUAACACAAAAUCACCUGAAAAUUUUAUCAUCAGUUAUUUCCAACUUUAUUUUGUUGCUGAAUGGAAAGAUUUGUCUCUUCUCUUGGAAGGAGAAUUAACGCUUGCUGCCCAAAUCACUGAUUUGCCUUCAGUUACCAUCUUGCACCUUCUCAAAUGACCCACUCUCAAACUGCAGGAGUUUCCAGCUUGUCCCAUUAGCAUGUAAUAGUUUGAAUUCAGCUUCCAGUUGUGCUCAAGACUAAGGAACCAAGACUAAGGAUCCUUUUUCUUGUCAGUGAAUUACAGGCUUUGAUUCAGACAGUAUACAACAGGAGUAGGGAAAACCUCUCUGUGAAUAAGUAUAAUCAUCUAUUUCUCUGCUAUCAGAGAUAGUAGAUGAUUAUACACUCUUGUAUUGAGGCAUUACAAAGACUCCAGUGAAGGAGUGUCAUCCAGAAAAAUGCAGUUGCAAUCUUCUGUCACAUACUUCUUCAACAUCCCCAUUCCUAAUGAAGAAAAUAAGAGCAUCUAAAAAUCAUUUAUAAACACUAACAGGAUAAUAGCUCAAGUGAUGCAUUAAAGCACAGAAAAAAUGGCAUCAUCUUUUAUGAUUCAGAGAUGCAAACUCUGCAACUGCAGUGUAUCCCCGCCCCUUGGCACUUCUUCCUCCAGCUAUUUCCACUUCACUAAAUACUGUAAUUCUCUUUAGUUUCUAUUGCUUCAAACUAGGAACAAGUCUGGUCACUUCCAUCCAUCUAAUAUGAUUUCAGUGGUAACGUGAACUUUCUCUUAAGCUUCGUGGAUAACCCAAAGAUAUGGCCUUUUCUUGCUGUGUAUUUUCAUCUUGACUCAAGGUAUGUCUUUCUUAGUCACCUCAAGAUCUGUCUAAGUCACCUCCUGACCAAGAGGAGAUAAAAAUCAUUUCAAGUGACUUAAGAGUUUGUAGCUUAUUUCUGAUUAUUCCAAAGUUUUCUUUUUUUGCCACUAUUAAAAAAAAAAAAGAACCUCAAACGGAGCAUUGAAAUUUGAGGUGUCAAAAAAUGUAAGCCAAGAUUUCUACUCUGCUUUGAAUAGUAUCACAGAAUAUGACCUUUACUGCUCAUUAUAUCACUUUCUUCUACAAACUGUAACAAAAUGCCUACUCAAGCAUUUCUCCCCAGGGCAGGGAGAAACUACAGAUCAAACAUCCAGCAAAGGUCUGCAAAAUAAGAGGUGCCUAAUAAGGGAAUCGUGUUCCUGGCAAACAUCCACUGGUUUUAUCCUUCCCUUCCUAUGAUCAAAAAUAAUUAGUUCAAUAGGCAAAACCGUAACACAUGCAAGGUUUCAUUCUGAGAUGCAUAUAAUAAAGUAAAAUGUAUCAGAAAAUAUAUCAAAACUUCUUCCAACACACAGCUUCCACUUACUGUGAAUAUACCACCAAAAUACCUCAAUCUUUUUCAUGUAGAUAUUUCAUCAGUGAGUCCUGACACUGCGACCUUUGAAGCAGGCAGCAGCAUUGCUGCUACGUGCUAUUAAACACCCACAGCAAAAGAAGAGAGGGUGAACUCUAUGCUUGGUUGUAACUUGAGGGGAAUGCAGGAGCAUUGCUGCUUUCCAAACAUGCCACAGGCAAGCAGUGCUUUCCAGGAUAAGAACCUGAAGAUACGUGUUGAAGCUGCAGACUGCAGAGUGCUCUUAUCUUUGUAAACAAGCUAACACAUUUCAUUUAGGUGCCAAAAUAAAAUGCAGAGGUAUCUUGACGAUAUCUUGAGCACCUUGCUUAGCUGGCAUGAAAGAGUAGGACUCGCUGACCUCAAAACUGUCCAACUGAUUUACAUCUGAAAGAAAGCAGAGGAUUUUUUUGUUGUAUUUACUUCUCAUAGGCUUUUCUAAGAUGAUUCAUGAACACAGAUGUCUUCAAAAAGUAUUUUUCUUACUGAAGUGAUGCUCUAUCUCAGGAAAUAUCUACUGUGAUACUUGACUAUAAGGAGAAUUUCAGAAAUAGGACAUUCAUCUUUUAUUAACCUCAUUAAAAUUAAAAAAACAUUUUCAUCGCUAUUUUGGCUCUAUAUGCUGGCAUUUUUAUAUUUAAUAAUAAUAAUAAUAAUUCCACAUUCACCACAAUGAUUUAUAGAAGAAUUCAUAUCAAUAAAAUGACACCUUGUAAAAUCUAGCCAAAGCUGAGGUGGGCAGAUGCAGCCUAAUGAGUAGCAGUUUCAAUUCAUCAUUAAGCAUUCUAGAAGAGUUUCAGUAUUUCAAUUCAUUUUAUAGCAAUGGGUACUUUCUUCGCUUAUGCAACAGAGUUCAUUUUUAAUGUGUUUUAGUUAAAUAUAUGGCUUAACUAACAAGAUGUAAAUACAAGUACUACAGAGCACACACACCAUGUCAGGACUGUAACUGGUUUUACCGUCCCAGUACAGAUGUAAGAAUUCAGAUAUGCAGUUAGAUAUGUCUUUCUAGAGUUUUAGGAUUUAAGCAAGGCAAAGUAGCACACACAACCAACAUUCAGUUCAGCACUUUUCCUGUGUAUUGAGGAAACAAUAACUAACCCUAAAAACCCCAUUGUUCCUGGCUACCAAGUGACUUUAUUACCCAUGAUAAUACUAACACAUGUUCCUCAUCAGAGCCUUUAGGAAAAAUUUACACAUGCUCCCUAGUAACAAAGGUAGCAUAUGCAAAGUCCUUCAGACACAAUAAUUAUAUAUUUUUCUUUUCCUCCCUCCGUGCAGUAACAACCCAUCCUUUUCUUUUUCCUCCCCUUCCCCUGAAAAAUCACUGUUGCAGCAUUUGGGAGGCAUCACAGUUUUUAAAGUAUGAAGCUUUACCAUUAGAUGGAUCUCCAGCUGAUCAGGAGCCUGAGAAAAAAAGGAAAAGCUCACUGCAACAAUAGUCUCAGCUUUGGUUAAAAUAUAUAAAUAUAUAGUCUUAUUCCUUCAGCAAGAUUUCAAAACACCCAAUACAAAUCCAUUAAGCAGCAGCCCCAGGUCUAUUAUGAAAACCAUCACCUCCCACUUGCACUCUCUGAGUUGGGAGAAGAGUGCACUUCAGGGUUUUCAUCUGGAUUUCACAGAAUCACAGAAUCACAAAAUUAUCAAGGUUGGAAAAGACCUAGAAGAUCAUCUAGUCCAACC
Coturnix japonica (Japanese quail) is the source of this 4050-nucleotide long non-coding RNA. RefSeq lists it as uncharacterized. The record is from RefSeq and is a predicted model, not a curated record. NCBI's taxonomy places the organism in Eukaryota, Metazoa, Chordata, Aves, Galliformes, Phasianidae.